AUGGCGUCGCCUCUCGAGUACGCUGUCGCCGUGCUGCAGGCGCGGCUCCUCCAGGCGGCGGAAGACGGCGACCUCCCCCUCUUCAAGAGGACGGCGAGGGCGCUGGACGGCGGGAAGGGCCGCCUGAGGGAGGCGGUGGAGGGCGCGACCGCGAGUAAUUGCGGCGCCCGGGCUUUGCACGUCGCCGCCGUUCACGGGAGGAUGCCCGUGUGCGCCUACCUGGUCGAGGACCUCCAGGUGAAUGUCGAUGCCACCGACGAGUCAGGCGAGACAGCUCUGAGUUAUGCAGCUGUUAAUGGAACUGUGAAUGUUGUGCGCUAUCUUCUUGAUCACGGUGCCAAUCCAGAUAAGUCUGGUCCUGGAAACCGUACUCCUCUCCACAUGGCGGUUGCAAAAGGGAAUUGUGAAAUAGUAAAGGUUUUGCUGUCAAAAGGAGCUGAUGUCAAUUGUUAUUCUGACUCGGGGACGCCACUGCAUAUUGCUGCUGUAUUUGGGUUAGAUGGUGCUAUGAAGAUUUUGUUGGACCACCAUGCAGAUUGUAACAAAUCAGUUUGCAUCGCCGAUACACCUCUCAUUGUUGCUCUCCUAGCUCACCGGCGGAAAUGUGUGAAGCUUCUGAUUAAGGCUGGUGCUGAUUUGAAUGGUCUUGGCAGUGCUGAUCCCGUAAUAGUUGCUAUAGAUGAGGGUUUAACUGAUUGUCUCAAGUGCUUACUAAAUGCUGGCGCUGAUCCCAAUGUCCUUGAUGAUUUUGGACGCCUGCCAAUUGAAGUUGCUGCAUCUCAGAAUAGCCGGGAAGACGUUGAGAUCCUAUUUCCAGUAAGUUCUUGCAUUCCAUCGGUGCUUGAUUGGAGCAUUGAUGGGAUAAUGGCUUACGUAAAAUCAAAAGAGAAGGAUGACCCUAUUUUAAAAAUGAAUCCAGCUAAUAUGAAGAUAGAAGGAAACAAAGCAUACAAGAGAAAAGACUAUAUUACUGCAGCAAGGCUCUACACCAUGGCAGAAGGUGACUACCCAGAGAAUGUAACAUUGAUUUCAAAUAGAAGCGUUUGCUGGCUUAAAAUGGGUGAAGGAGACAAAGCUUUGCGGGAUGCUCAAAUUUGCAGGGCACUGCGUCGUGACUGGCCGAAGGCCUGCUUCCGGGAAGGGGCUGCUCGAAUGCUGUUAAAGGACUAUGAAAAGGCAUGUGAUGCAUUCCUUGAUGGCCUCAAAUUAGACCCAGGGAACACUGAGAUUGAGAACGCCUUGAGGGAGGCUUUCCAUUCCUUGGAGAUAUCACAUUCUGUCAAAAAGGGCCACUGA
RNAcentral lists this ribosomal RNA (1296 nucleotides) under Triticum aestivum (bread wheat). Its description in RNAcentral is "partial small subunit ribosomal RNA". Lineage: Eukaryota; Viridiplantae; Streptophyta; Magnoliopsida; Poales; Poaceae. The record is from RNAcentral.